GACGAACGCUGGCGGCGUGCUUAACACAUGCAAGUCGAACGGAAAGGCCCUGCUUUUGUGGGGUGCUCGAGUGGCGAACGGGUGAGUAACCCGUGAGUAACCUGCCCUGGCCUUUGGGAUAACUUCAGGAAACGGGGGCAAUUCCCGGAAGGGAGCUCCUCCUCCAGGGGGGGGGUGGGAAAGUUUCGGCGGUUGGGGAUGGACUCGCGGCUUAUCAGCUUGUUGGUGGGGUAGUGGCUUACCAAGGCUUUGACGGGUAGCCGGCCUGAGAGGGUGACCGGCCACAUUGGGACUGAGAUACGGCCCAGACUCCUACGGGAGGCAGCAGUGGGGAAUAUUGCACAAUGGGCGGAAGCCUGAUGCAGCAACGCCGCGUGCGGGAUGACGGCCUUCGGGUUGUAAACCGCUUUCGCCUGUGACGAAGCGUGAGUGACGGUAAUGGGUAAAGAAGCACCGGCUAACUACGUG
RNAcentral lists this ribosomal RNA (468 nucleotides) under uncultured bacterium. RNAcentral describes it as "partial 16S ribosomal RNA". It matches the Rfam family "Bacterial small subunit ribosomal RNA", at positions 28 to 507 of the family's 1533-position model. The record is from RNAcentral.